UUCAACAGUAAUAAUAAAUCCUAUUAUUUCCUUAAAAAAAAAAUCCAAUUAUUGUACAUAAAUAUCUCCUCCUUUUCUUUUCAUGGUACAAUAGAGAAAUUAUUUUCAUCUUCCUUUUUUGACCCACAUUAUUCCUCAUUCUUUUUCUCUUGCUGUCCUCCACUUUCUUCCAAGUUCCACAACGACAUCAACUCCAACAAAUUCAAACCUCUCCUCAAUCAAUACCAACAAGCCCCACAUUUCAAAGAAAUGAGCCUUAAUAUUCACCACUUGUGACUUGUGAGUAUGAUAUAUAACUACUGAGGAUAAAACAGCUUAGCAAAUAGAAGCUCAUUCCAAGUAUCUUGAAGGCCAGGUAAACACCAAUGCGCACAAUCUGCAUAGCUAACAGGUUUAGCUAUCUGCUCAGGAGUCAAUGGAUUCCAUUGCUUUUUGUAGAUAGAAGUGUGUGCAUCUUUUCUAUAACUUGAUAGUUGAGUAAUGUUCAGAAAUGAUAUGGGGAAUUUUGAUUUCCCGAACUCUUCUCUGAUCACUUCCAUUAUGCUUUUCUGGCAAUCAGAACUCCAGUAAGUUGCAUCAUCAAUCAAAGUUGUUUCAUUGUAACAGUUGAGACCCGGUUGGCCUCCCCAAUCUAUGCUCCUGAAGAAACAUCAAACAUUACGUUGGGGUCGAGCGAAGUAAAUGGCCCAUGGGAAAGAGCGAGAGCUUCCCUUUUUUGUAUGGCUUGUAAAAAUGGACAAAAUCAAAAAGAAAAAUCAAGAAAUUGUGAGUCUAAUUUACUUACUUUCCAUGAGAAGGUGACAUGCUGGUGAAGAAGACCCUAGUUUUCCUAGGAUUCAUAUUCUUUCUCACCCAUCUCAACAUGCUUCUCAUCGCCAUCCGGUAUGCGUCCUCGGUGGAUAACUCUACGAUAUCUUUCACUUCAUCUUUGAAAGAACCUUGCAAGAUUUUCAUAUUUUGGCCAGUCAUCCACCAUAGAUAAGUAUUGAAGACUAAAAUAUCAACUCCUUUCCAAUGUCUGCCAUGUUUGUUGAUUGAACCUUUCCUUACAAUCCUAUCAGAUAUCCUAUGGAUUACAGCAUUAUCUGAAUUUGAUUCAAGAAGAAAUGGUGCCCAGUAGAACUCAAUUGUGGCAUUGUACGCCUUGGCCGUGAAGACUGUAAGUGAAUCGAAGGUUUCCAUGGAUUUGGCAUCUUCAGGGAUGAGUCUAUGGAGAAGACAGACCAUGGAAACAUACUGGCCACGGUUCAAAGAAUCGCCAACAAACAUCAUUCUCUUUCCUCGUAGAGUUUCAAGCAUCAAUGUGGCAUUGAAACUUGGAAGAUUACAGCCAUGGGGUUGCCAUCUCCAUUUUUGAUACUCCUUAUCGGGCCUCCCAUGUUCUUGGCAAGUCAACUGCGGCUGAAUGUAAGGACACUCUGAUUCCUCGUAAAGUGGAUGAGUUGAUGACUCGUCCUUCACCCACCUCCCACUGAACACAUCACACCCUUCUGGGGUUUUCCCAAUGGCAAAAGGUAGCUUCUCCCACUUCUUCUCGGUUCUAGUUAAGAGGGUGCCGGAUUUGGGGUCGAGUCGGCCAAGAAGGCACAUGAAGUCUUCUCCAUAGAGAAUAGCAACGAAGAAAAUGAAAAAAAUUUUAGGUGGCAAUAUUGGCAAAAUCUAGCAAACCAAGCUUUCUAUUCUUUCAGACAGUCCUGAAAGAGUUAAUUCUUUUAUUUGUAGGGACUUGCUCCUGAAAUUUGCUGUUUACCUACUUGACCUUGAAGCAUUUCCAAACUGGGGAACUUUAUCUACUAAGAAAUAAUUGUCUAGCAAUAAUGUGCACAUCUAUAGCACUACUACAAUCUACAUAACUUACCUUUUAAUAUUUCGAUAUAGCAUUUAAAUUUGAGUUUAAUAACAUGAAAUAUGAUAAAGAAAAAUACUAAAGAAACUAUACUUCUUUUUUUAAGAAAACUACCAAAUACCAAACUUAGUGCUCUAUGAUAAUAACUUAUAUGUCUUGAGACAUUCGCACAAUCAAGAAGCAAAACAUUGUUGCAUAAAGAAUACUGAAGAAGAAAUAUCUCCAAAUCUCAAAUCCUUGUAGCCUUGUUCAUUGUUGGGUGAAGAACAAUAGGGACUAAUCAGCCAAAUGCCUGGUAGUUGUUGUAUGGAGAGAAGCCUUUUCUGCAUUAAGGUUUAAUUUUCAUUAUUGUUGAAGGG
This 2205-nucleotide unclassified non-coding RNA is filed under the name Hevea brasiliensis (rubber tree). Lineage: Eukaryota; Viridiplantae; Streptophyta; Magnoliopsida; Malpighiales; Euphorbiaceae. The record is from RNAcentral.